UGCGCAGGCGGCCUGAUAAGUCAGGGGUGAAAUAUGUCGGCUCAACCGGCAAACUGCCCCUGAAACUGCCAGGCUUGAGUCCGGGAGAGGAUGGUGGAAUUCCUGGUGUAGCGGUGAAAUGCGUAAAUAUCAGGAGGAACACCAAUGGCGAAGGCAGCCAUCUGGCCCGGUACUGACGCUCAGGCACGAAAGCUAGGGAGCGAACA
RNAcentral lists this ribosomal RNA (206 nucleotides) under uncultured bacterium. RNAcentral describes it as "partial 16S ribosomal RNA". It matches the Rfam family "Bacterial small subunit ribosomal RNA", at positions 568 to 774 of the family's 1533-position model. The record is from RNAcentral.